UUGGAGAGAAAAUCCACAUCGGAAAUAUAAAUGGAACAUGAGUAAUAUAUAAGAUCUUGGACCACUACAUUAAUUGUCAACUGAUUUUAAGGUAGAAGUCCAGAAAACUUAUCAGAUAGCUGCGCUUUCGUGCUUUAAGAGAUUAAAGACGCUGAGAAUAUCGUCUUGCAUAACGAUGGAUCCUUGUCCUGGACCAGAGAGGUUAUUGGGUUCUUGUCCGGCUCUAGAGAGUUAACAAUUCAAAAGGAUUCAAAUAUGUUGUGUGUUGACUAGCCUUUUGGAACUGGUUUCAGCUACACCACGAAUAAAAGUGAUGUCCAUCAUGACGAAAACAGAGUCAGCGAUGAUCUAUAUGAUUUUCUGCAGGUCAUUGAGUUCUUCCACUAUUGUGUGCUGUUUCUAUUAGAAACUGCAACCUCAUAUUAAAAACCCGACAAGUGAGAUAAUGUGCAAGAUAACAAUGUAGUUGUUCUAGAGAUAGCAUGAAGCAAGGAACAUGUGCAUUCUCGGGAUAAAUUUCGAACGUUUGCUACAGUCUAGUGAUCAAGGAAUUUUUGGUUCAUUCCACUUUUUAUAAGUAUAUUUUCAUGUGUACACAAGUUUUAAGAUGAAUAUAUCCAUGUAGAUACACACAAGUUUUGAUAUUUUAGUUUUAUGUAUUUA
This is a long non-coding RNA of Raphanus sativus (radish), 663 nucleotides long. RefSeq lists it as uncharacterized. The record is from RefSeq and is a predicted model, not a curated record. Lineage: Eukaryota; Viridiplantae; Streptophyta; Magnoliopsida; Brassicales; Brassicaceae. The transcript is spliced from 2 exons.